CUACGUGCCAGCAGCCGCGGUAAUACGGAGGGUGCGAGCGUUAAUCGGAAUAACUGGGCGUAAAGGGCACGCAGGCGGUGACUUAAGUGAGGUGUGAAAGCCCCGGGCUUAACCUGGGAAUUGCAUUUCAUACUGGGUCGCUAGAGUACUUUAGGGAGGGGUAGAAUUCCACGUGUAGCGGUGAAAUGCGUAGAGAUGUGGAGGAAUACCGAAGGCGAAGGCAGCCCCUUGGGAAUGUACUGACGCUCAUGUGCGAAAGCGUGGGGAGCAAACAGGAUUAGAUACCCUGGUAGUCCACGCCGUAAACGUUGGGCACUAGGUGUGGGGGACAUUCCACGUUUUCCGCGCCGUAGCUAACGCAUUAAGUGCCCCGCCUGGGGAGUACGGCCGCAAGGCUAAAACUCAAAGAAAUUGACGGGGGCCCGCACAAGCGGCGGAGCAUGCGGAUUAAUUCGAUGCAACGCGAAGAACCUUACCAAGGCUUGACAU
Molecule: ribosomal RNA, 489 nt
Filed under: uncultured bacterium
Lineage: Bacteria
Description: bacterial SSU rRNA
Rfam family: Bacterial small subunit ribosomal RNA
Source: RNAcentral